AACGUAGGAGACAAACGUUAUCCGGAGUUACUGGGCGUAAAGGGCGUGUAGGCGGUUCGUUAAGUCUGGGGUGAAAGCUCUCGGCUAAACCGGGAGAGGUCGUUGGAUACUGGCAAACUAGAGGACGGUAGAGGCGUGUGGAAUUCCGGGUGUAGUGGUGAAAUGCGUAGAGAUCCGGAGGAACACCAGUGGCGAAGGCGACACGCUGGGCCGCAACUGACGCUAAAGCGCGACAGCAUGGGGAGCAAACGGG
This 253-nucleotide ribosomal RNA is filed under the name uncultured bacterium. RNAcentral describes it as "partial 16S ribosomal RNA". It matches the Rfam family "Bacterial small subunit ribosomal RNA", at positions 524 to 776 of the family's 1533-position model. The record is from RNAcentral.